GACGAACGCUGGCGGCGUGCUUAACACAUGCAAGUCGAACGAAGAGCGAUGGAAGCUUGCUUCUAUCAAUCUUAGUGGCGAACGGGUGAGUAACGCGCAAUCAACCUGCCCUUCAGAGGGGGACAACAGUAGGAAACGACUGCUAAUACCGCAUACGAUCUAAUCUCGGCAUCGAGGAUAGAUGAAAGGUGGCCUCUACAUGUAAGCUAUCACUGAAGGUGGGGAUUGCGCCUGGUUAGCUAGUUGGAGGGGUAACGGCCCACCAAGGCGAUGAUCAGUAGCCGGUCUGAGAGGAUGAACGGCCAAAAUGGGACUGGGACACGGCCCAGACUCCUACGGGAGGCAGCAGUGGGGAAUCUUCCGCAAUGGACGAAAGUCUUACGGAGCAACGCCGCGUGGGUGAUGACGGCCUUCGGGUUGUAAAGCUCCGUUAAUCGGGACGAAAGGCCUUCUUGCGAAUAGUGAGAAGGAUUGACGGUACCGGAAUAGAAAGCCACGGCUAACUACGUG
This 510-nucleotide ribosomal RNA is filed under the name uncultured bacterium. RNAcentral describes it as "partial 16S ribosomal RNA". It matches the Rfam family "Bacterial small subunit ribosomal RNA", at positions 28 to 507 of the family's 1533-position model. The record is from RNAcentral.